CCAUUGUGGGCAGAAGGAUCCUCCUCGGAUCGUCACCGGUGCUGGGUAGGCUUCCUUAGGCUGAGUUUCUCCGUGUUGAGUUGCUGCUUUCAGCUCACUGAGGAUGACCUGGAGUACUUGGCUGAACCUAUGCCGGAUCAUGGAGGAACACAUCCAGCUUCCUAUGCCUCAGCUUCCAGCCACUGCCCCUUGCCCUGUCAUCAGGCAUCGCCAAGAAGAGCCUGGCUCUGUCCUCCUGGCACUCAUUUAUCCUUCUGUGAGGGAGCUGAUGUGACACUAAAGAAACAGAAGAGAUUCAGACCCAAGGAGGAGAUACUGAACAACAUAUAGUGUCUCAAAAUACUUGCCAAGCACAGUUAUUUUUUAGAACCUUGAUAAUAAAAUAAUGAAAUAGUCA
Molecule: long non-coding RNA, 397 nt
Organism: Pogoniulus pusillus (Red-fronted tinkerbird)
Lineage: Eukaryota; Metazoa; Chordata; Aves; Piciformes; Lybiidae
Exons: 4
Source: RefSeq, a predicted model, not a curated record